RNAcentral lists this long non-coding RNA (244 nucleotides) under Carica papaya (papaya). RNAcentral describes it as "long non-coding RNA (CPAP_LNC000838)". Lineage: Eukaryota; Viridiplantae; Streptophyta; Magnoliopsida; Brassicales; Caricaceae. The record is from RNAcentral.
GAUGACAUUCACCGUAGGGUUCCCUAUGAACCCGGUCCGUCCACCAUCUCCCAGGAUAUCUAGUGAGGCUGUCACCUUAUCUGUUUUCCCUUAGUCUCCGUUACCAAGUUGAACAUAAUCACAUAAACAAUAAACAUGCACCCGGUAAUACAAUCAUAUCUUAAAUUCUAAAAUCACAUAGUGGUCAAGUAAGACAGUAACACAUGCAUUUAAAACUAUAAAAUAGAUAGACCAGAUACCAUAG